Molecule: ribosomal RNA, 835 nt
Filed under: Parachaetomium longiciliatum
Lineage: Eukaryota; Fungi; Ascomycota; Sordariomycetes; Sordariales; Chaetomiaceae
Description: Chaetomium longiciliata eukaryotic LSU rRNA
Rfam family: Eukaryotic large subunit ribosomal RNA
Source: RNAcentral
AAACCAACAGGGAUUGCCCUAGUAACGGCGAGUGAAGCGGCAACAGCUCAAAUUUGAAAUCUGGCCUCGUCCCGAGUUGUAAUUUGCAGAGGAAGCUUUAGGCGCGGCACCUUCUGAGUCCCCUGGAACGGGGCGCCAUAGAGGGUGAGAGCCCCGUAUAGUUGGAUGCCUAGCCUGUGUAAAGCUCCUUCGACGAGUCGAGUAGUUUGGGAAUGCUGCUCAAAAUGGGAGGUAAAUCUCUUCUAAAGCUAAAUACCGGCCAGAGACCGAUAGCGCACAAGUAGAGUGAUCGAAAGAUGAAAAGCACUUUGAAAAGAGGGUUAAAUAGCACGUGAAAUUGUUGAAAGGGAAGCGCUUGUGACCAGACUUGCGCCGGGCGGAUCAUCCGGUGUUCUCACCGGUGCACUCCGCCCGGCUCAGGCCAGCAUCGGUUCUCGCGGGGGGAUAAAGGCCCUGGGAACGUAGCUCCUCCGGGAGUGUUAUAGCCCAGGGCGCAAUGCCCUCGCGGGGACCGAGGUUCGCGCAUCUGCAAGGAUGCUGGCGUAAUGGUCAUCAGCGACCCGUCUUGAAACACGGACCAAGGAGUCAAGGUUUUGCGCGAGUGUUUGGGUGUAAAACCCGCACGCGUAAUGAAAGUGAACGUAGGUGAGAGCUUCGGCGCAUCAUCGACCGAUCCUGAUGUUUUCGGAUGGAUUUGAGUAGGAGCGUUAAGCCUUGGACCCGAAAGAUGGUGAACUAUGCUUGGAUAGGGUGAAGCCAGAGGAAACUCUGGUGGAGGCUCGCAGCGGUUCUGACGUGCAAAUCGAUCGUCAAAUCUGAGCAUGGGGCGAAAGAC